This 1395-nucleotide long non-coding RNA is filed under the name Salmo salar (Atlantic salmon). RNAcentral describes it as "lncRNA (ENSSSAG00000082541.1)". Lineage: Eukaryota; Metazoa; Chordata; Actinopteri; Salmoniformes; Salmonidae. The record is from RNAcentral.
CUCAUGUCUAUCGGAGUAGAGAGCGGGAGAGAGAGAUAAUAGAAAGUGAAUCUCAUUGUAGUGAGAGAUGGGGGGGAUUAAAGAAGAGGCAACUCGAAAGAACUUUGAUCACGUUUAUUAGAAUCUUUACAUUGCAAAAAGUGACAAUUAUUUUUCAUGCCAGAAGAGGUACCGGAUCCGGACAAAACGAAACUGUUCAAGACGGAGAGGUGCCAGAUCCUGUUCCAGUAGGAUCCGGCUAAAAUUAAGUACUGGAGAGAGGGUGUACGAAUUCUGUGGAGGCAGCGUGAUACAAGGACUAUACAUUUCCUGUCUCCUAUCAGCCGGAUUUACUCCGAAAAGGGCAUCAAUGACCAUUGGACCAUAUACUUCUCCACAAUAUUGCAGGCACUAAAGGUGGACUUUUAACAAGUGCAGUGACAAUGCAGGAGCAUCUCCCAGUCCAGCACAUGGGCACCAGGAGCACAAAGUUCUCCUAGUAGUGAGGUUUGUCCUGGGCCUCAUCCGGACGACCAUGACUGAUCUCCUGGCCAACCUGAGUGUUCCAUGGGGCACACAGGUGAUUGUGAGCCCCAACCUGACAGCAGCAGCCCUGGUUGUGCCGGGGUCAGGCAAGUCUCUGGCCCCCUUCUGCACCUUCUGCUGCUGUGGCCUGCUGAACCGUACUCUGGCCGUGGUGUUUAUGGUCAGUCUGGCCUUCGCCAUAGUGGUGGGCAACGUGGUCACGCUCACCGUCUUCAUGCAGACAAGACAGGUCCGCACACCACAGGGAUACCUCAAAGCUUAGAGCCUGUACGGAGAGGCAAAGGUCGAGAGCCGUGCGUCCUCUAAAACACAACCCAACCAAGCCGCACUGCUUCUUGACACAAUGCCCACUUAACCCAGAAGCCAGCCACACCAAGGUGUCGGAGGAAACACUGUGCACCUGACAACCGCGUCAACGUGCCCGGCCCGCCACAGGAGUUGCUAGUGCGCGAUGGGACAAGGAUAUCCAUGCUGGCCAAACCCUCCCCUAACACGGACAGCGCUGGACCAAUUGUGCACCGCCUCAUGGAUCUCCCGGUCACGGCCAACUGCGACAGAGCCUGGACUCAAACCCAGAAUCUCUAGUGGCACAGCUAGCACUGCGCCACUCAGGAGCCCCCUGUGUCAAUAUUUAAACACUGUACAGAACUUUAUCAGUAUUGUAUUAUUCAUCAGAUGAUGACGUCAGAUUUAGUCAUAAAUGCAUUUGGAAACACUUCAUUUUGGGAGUUUCUAAAUGGUGUUCACUCAUGAGAGUAAUGUGUUCAGACAGUACUAAAUAUCUUUCAGGCAUCUGCUCUAAAAUUCACCGCCUCAGCAGUUACACAAGCUACACUAGAAACAAUCAUUUUCAUCUUUUUGCCCCAUCAG